UGUUGGGGUAUGAUAUUGCUA
Molecule: non-coding RNA, 21 nt
Filed under: Arabidopsis thaliana (thale cress)
Lineage: Eukaryota; Viridiplantae; Streptophyta; Magnoliopsida; Brassicales; Brassicaceae
Source: RNAcentral